GCUUGCUUCUUUGCCGGCGACCGGCGCACGGGUGAGUAACACGUAUCCAACCUGCCCUUUACUCGGGGAUAGCCUUUCGAAAGAAAGAUUAAUACCCGAUAGCAUAAUAAUUCCGCAUGGUUUCAUUAUUAAAGGAUUCCGGUAAAGGAUGGGGAUGCGUUCCAUUAGGUUGUUGGUGGGGUAACGGCCACCAAGCCUUCGAUGGAUAGGGGUUCUGAGAGGAAGGUCCCCCACAUUGGAACUGAGACACGGUCCAAACUCCUACGGGAGGCAGCAUG
Molecule: ribosomal RNA, 278 nt
Filed under: uncultured bacterium
Lineage: Bacteria
Description: partial 16S ribosomal RNA
Rfam family: Bacterial small subunit ribosomal RNA
Source: RNAcentral